Danio rerio (zebrafish) is the source of this 116-nucleotide ribosomal RNA. Lineage: Eukaryota; Metazoa; Chordata; Actinopteri; Cypriniformes; Danionidae. The record is from Ensembl.
UUCCACAGCCAUAUCACCCAGCAGCCCAAAACCGGUUACUCGCUGAAGCUAAGCAGGGCUGAGCCUAGUCUGUACCUAGAUGGCAGACAACAUGGUAAACUAGGUUGCUGUUGGAA